Molecule: ribosomal RNA, 400 nt
Filed under: uncultured bacterium
Lineage: Bacteria
Description: bacterial SSU rRNA
Rfam family: Bacterial small subunit ribosomal RNA
Source: RNAcentral
AUUGAACGCUGGCGGCAUGCUUUACACAUGCAAGUCGAACGGCAGCACGGGUGCUUGCACCUGGUGGCGAGUGGCGGACGGGUGAGUAAUACAUCGGAACGUAUCCAGAAGAGGGGGAUAACGCAUCGAAAGAUGUGCUAAUACCGCAUAUUCUCUGAGGAGGAAAGCAGGGGAUCGAAAGACCUUGCGCUUUGGGAGCGGCCGAUGUCUGAUUAGCUAGUUGGUGGGGUAAAGGCCUACCAAGGCGACGAUCAGUAGUUGGUCUGAGAGGACGACCAGCCACACUGGGACUGAGACACGGCCCAGACUCCUACGGGAGGCAGCAGUGGGGAAUUUUGGACAAUGGGCGCAAGCCUGAUCCAGCAAUGCCGCGUGAGUGAAGAAGGCCUCGGUUGUAAGU